CCAACAAUUGCAAUGAUCUAUCC
RNAcentral lists this non-coding RNA (23 nucleotides) under Arabidopsis thaliana (thale cress). The record is from RNAcentral. Lineage: Eukaryota; Viridiplantae; Streptophyta; Magnoliopsida; Brassicales; Brassicaceae.